AGUGGGAUAGCUGGAUCAAAUGGUGGGCCAUUCCAAGUUUUCUAAGGAAUCUCCAUACUGCUUUCCAUACUGGUUGUAACAAUUUGCAGUGCUACCAGCAAU
Molecule: microRNA precursor, 102 nt
Filed under: Marmota monax (woodchuck)
Lineage: Eukaryota; Metazoa; Chordata; Mammalia; Rodentia; Sciuridae
Source: RNAcentral